CCUACGGGAGGCAGCAGUGAGGAAUAUUGGUCAAUGGGCGUAAGCCUGAACCAGCCAAGUCGCGUGAGGGAUGAAGGUUCUAUGGAUCGUAAACCUCUUUUAUAAGGGAAUAAAGUGCGGGACGUGUCCCGUUUUGUAUGUACCUUAUGAAUAAGGAUCGGCUAACUCCGUGCCAGCAGCCGCGGUAAUACGGAGGAUCCGAGCGUUAUCCGGAUUUAUUGGGUUUAAAGGGUGCGUAGGCGGCCUUUUAAGUCAGCGGUGAAAGUCUGUGGCUCAACCAUAGAAUUGCCGUUGAAACUGGGAGGCUUGAGUAUGUUUGAGGCAGGCGGAAUGCGUGGGGUAGCGGUGAAAUGCUUAGAUAUCACGCAGAACCCCGAUUGCGAAGGCAGCCUGCCAAGCCAUGACUGACGCUGAUGCACGAAAGCGUGGGGAGCAAACAGGAUUAGAUACCCCAGUAGUC
This 460-nucleotide ribosomal RNA is filed under the name uncultured bacterium. RNAcentral's name for it is "partial 16S ribosomal RNA". It matches the Rfam family "Bacterial small subunit ribosomal RNA", at positions 338 to 795 of the family's 1533-position model. The record is from RNAcentral.